CGAGGAAAGGGGCACGUAGAGGCAGAUUAGGACAAAUCCUUAUGAGUUUGAAAUUUAACCAGGCAUUGAAAUGCAUAUAAAUAUAACUUUAUAUAUCUUAUUACUGAUGCUAAAAAUGUGUCUACCUAUAAUUCUAUGGUUUUCAAAGAAGAUUCCUUGAACAAAAAAUAUUUCGAGACGGCCGUGAGAAUUUUUUUCGUUAGUAUAUGGAAACGGAAAGAGAAUAGAUUGAUCAGCGAUGAACACAU
Coccinella septempunctata (seven-spotted ladybird) is the source of this 248-nucleotide long non-coding RNA. RefSeq lists it as uncharacterized. The transcript is spliced from 4 exons. NCBI's taxonomy places the organism in Eukaryota, Metazoa, Arthropoda, Insecta, Coleoptera, Coccinellidae. The record is from RefSeq and is a predicted model, not a curated record.